AGUGAACGCUGGCGGUAGGCCUAACACAUGCAAGUCGAACGGCAGCACAGUAAGAGCUUGCUCUUACGGGUGGCGAGUGGCGGACGGGUGAGGAAUACAUCGGAAUCUACUUUUUCGUGGGGGAUAACGUAGGGAAACUUACGCUAAUACCGCAUACGACCUACGGGUGAAAGCAGGGGAUCUUCGGACCUUGCGCGAUUGAAUGAGCCGAUGUCGGAUUAGCUAGUUGGCGGGGUAAAGGCCCACCAAGGCGACGAUCCGUAGCUGGUCUGAGAGGAUGAUCAGCCACACGGGACUGGAGACACGGCCAGACUCCUACGGGAGGCAGCAGUGGGGAAUAUUGGACAAUGGGCGCAAGCCUGAUCCAGCCAUACCGCGUGGGUGAAGAAGGCCUUCGGGUUGUAAAGCCCUUUUGUUGGGAAAGAAAAGCAGCAGGUUAAUACCCCGCUGUUCUGACGGUACCCAAAGAAUAAGCACCGGCUAACUUCGUG
RNAcentral lists this ribosomal RNA (491 nucleotides) under uncultured bacterium. RNAcentral describes it as "partial 16S ribosomal RNA". It matches the Rfam family "Bacterial small subunit ribosomal RNA", at positions 29 to 507 of the family's 1533-position model. The record is from RNAcentral.